RNAcentral lists this ribosomal RNA (400 nucleotides) under phytoplankton environmental sample. RNAcentral describes it as "partial small subunit ribosomal RNA". It matches the Rfam family "Eukaryotic small subunit ribosomal RNA", at positions 587 to 988 of the family's 1831-position model. The record is from RNAcentral.
AGCUCCAAUAGCGUAUAUUAAAGUUGUUGCAGUUAAAAAGCUCGUAGUUGGAUUUCUGGUGGGAGCGAUCGGUCUGGCGCUUAGCGCGAGUACUUGCAUCGUCUCCGGCCAUCCUUGGGGAGAGUCUGUCUGGCAUUAGGUUGUCGGGCAGAGGAUCCUCAUCGUUUACUGUGAAAAAAUUAGAGUGUUCAAAGCAGGCUUAUGCCGUUGAAUAUAUUAGCAUGGAAUAAUAAGAUAGGACUUUGGUACUAUUUUGUUGGUUUGCGCACCAAAGUAAUGAUUAAUAGGGACAGUUGGGGGUAUUCGUAUUCCGUUGUCAGAGGUGAAAUUCUUGGAUUUACGGAAGACGAACUACUGCGAAAGCAUUUACCAAGGAUGUUUUCAUUAAUCAAGAACGAAA